This 1396-nucleotide ribosomal RNA is filed under the name metagenome. RNAcentral's name for it is "bacterial LSU rRNA". It matches the Rfam family "Bacterial large subunit ribosomal RNA", at positions 1460 to 2925 of the family's 2925-position model. The record is from RNAcentral.
UAAGCUAGAGGGACGCUUUCAUUAAGUCUAUCCCGGGCGAUGGUUGCCCCGGGCGUAAGGGACCGAAAUUUAGUAGGGAAGUAGACGGCGUGAGAGACGAGAAAAGCUCUAGUGUAUACUAAGGUGCCCGUACCGCAAACCGACACAGGUAGAUGGGAUGAGUAUUCUAAGGCCGACGGGGGAAGGGUUGUUAAGGAACUCGGCAAAUUGGCCCCGUAACUUCGGGAUAAGGGGCGCCUGCGAGAGCAGGCCGCAGUGAAAAGGCCCAAGCGACUGUUUAGCAAAAACACAGCUCUCUGCUAAAUCGAAAGAUGACGUAUAGGGGGUGACGCCUGCCCGGUGCUGGAAGGUUAAGGGGAGUGCUUAGCGCAAGCGAAGGUGCGAACUUAAGCCCCAGUAAACGGCGGCCGUAACAAUAACGGUCCUAAGGUAGCGAAAUUCCUUGUCAGGUAAGUUCUGACCCGCACGAAUGGCGUAACGAUUUGGGCACUGUCUCAACAGCCCGCCCGGCGAAAUUGUAGUACCGGUGAAGAUGCCGGUUUCCCGCAACUAGACGGAAAGACCCCAUGGAGCUUCACUGUAGCUUGAUAUUGGAUCUCGGUAUUCCAUGUACAGGAUAGGUGGGAGGCUAGGAAGUAAGCGCGCCAGCGUUUAUGGAGCCAACCUUGGGAUACCACUCUUGGGAUAUUGGGAUUCUAACCUGCGACCAUGAAUCUGGUCGGGGGACACUGUCAGGUGGGCAGUUUGACUGGGGCGGUCGCCUCCAAAAGAGUAACGGAGGCGCUCAAAGGUUCGUUCAGCACGGAUGGAAAUCGUGCACUGAGUGUAAACGCAUAAACGAGCCUAACUGCGAGAAUGACGGUUCGAGCAGUAACGAAAGUUGGAGUUAGUGAUCCGGCGGUAUGUGAAUGGAAAUGCCGUCGCUCAACGGAUAAAAGCUACCCUGGGAUAACAGGCUGAUCUCCCCCAAGAGUCCACAUCGACGGGGAGGUUUGGCACCUCGAUGUCGGCUCAUCGCACCCUGGGGCUGAAUUCGGUCCCAAGGGUUUGGCUGUUCGCCAAUUAAAGCGGUACGCGAGCUGGGUUCAGAACGUCGUCAGACAGUUCGGUCCCUAUCUGUUGCGGGCGCAGGAAUAUUGAGAGGAGCUGUCCUUAGUACGAGAGGACCGGGAUGGACGUACCGCUGGUGCACCAGUUGUUCUGCCAAGGGCAUAGCUGGGUAGCUAAGUACGGACGAGAUAAACGCUGAAGGCAUCUAAGCGUGAAACUCCCCUCGAGAUAAGUGUUCCCAUCCUUCGGGAGUAAGGCCCCUUGUAGACUACAAGGUUGAUAGGUCAGGAGUGGAAGUGCAGUAAUGUAUGGAGCGGACUGAUACUAAUAGGCCGAGGGCUUGACU